CACCUCUCCAAAUUCACGCGAACGCCUUCUUGAAUGUUCUGCUGGCUUGUUUCACACAGAUUACUGUAUUCUCCACAUUAGAAAACACACAGACAGCAGUGAAUAUGAGGAAGUGACUCCUUAAUUAUCACAGGAAGCAGACGCUGUAUUAUUUUUCAAGAAGCAGCUCAUGAGAUACUUUGACAGAUGAUAGUGAGACCGACAGAAAAGAAUAAUGGUUGAAUACAGAUGGAUUACUUUUUCUUUAUUUCUGAUGCUUGUGUUUAAUUUUCCAGCAGCAACUUGGACACAUUCCUCCUUCAAUGCCAGAGUUGGAGAUGAAGUCACUUUGUCUUGUGAAAAUAUGAUAGUUGAUCAGGAUAAGUGUGACAGUAUUAACUGGGUCUUUGGUGAUACAAGAAAAAUAGUAACGCUGUUUGCACGUGGGCAGAUUCACAGAGCCAACACUAAAUCAGACAGACUGAGUGUUACACAGAACUGUUCUCUGGUUGUGAAAAAUGUCACAGCUGAGGAUGUUGGUUACUACACCUGCAGAAGGUUCAUAUCAGGAAACCGUCGAGAUGCUCAUGUGUAUCUCUCUGUUAUUACCAGUAAGGCUGCAACAACGACAACUACAAUAUCACCAACAACCAUUAAAUCAACACCGACAACAGGAAACAUAUGGACAACAAUGCAAAUCAGCACAUCAGAAGGGACAAAAGAUACAGCAUCUACAAACAAACAUAAUGGAACAAAACAAGGUGAUGCUGCAACAAUGGCAACUACAGUAUCACCAACAACAAUGAAAUCAACAUCGACAACAGGACACAUAUGGACAACAGUGAAAAUGAGCACAUCAGAAGGGACAAAAGAUACAGCAUCUACAAACAACAAUAAUGAAACAGAACAAGUGUGGUGGCGGUUCGUCAUUGUGUUUGUGGCACUCUCAGCACUCUUAAUAAUCCUUCUGGUUGUCACCAGAUGGAAUAGAAAUAAAGGAGAAAAAAAACAGAUGGAUGAAAACAUGGAGCACAAUGACAAAGAUGAAGAUGAUGGUAUUGUGAACUAUGUAAACGUUGGAGACCCUUCUGUCUCUGUCAGACUCUGA
This 1087-nucleotide long non-coding RNA is filed under the name Dicentrarchus labrax (European seabass). RNAcentral's name for it is "lncRNA (ENSDLAG00005030763.1)". Lineage: Eukaryota; Metazoa; Chordata; Actinopteri; Moronidae. The record is from RNAcentral.